CCUUUGCCUGGACCGUCAGCUCAGUGGUGGACGACGGAACGGGCGAGAGCUGCGGAGAGGAAGGGAAGGUGCUGCGGACGAUGAGGAGGAGGAGGAAGAGGAAGAGGAAGCUGAGGAGGAUGAUCUUGGCGUUGAUGGCGAAAUGGGUCUUGCUCGUGUUGCCGUUGCUGGAACCCAUUUUCCGAUGUGCGAAGACGACCCGAUUCUGUCUCGAGAAUUCGCUUGAUGGUGCGUUUGACAGAGGAGAGACCAGAGGACU
This 259-nucleotide long non-coding RNA is filed under the name Eucalyptus grandis. RNAcentral describes it as "long non-coding RNA (EGRA_LNC003810)". Lineage: Eukaryota; Viridiplantae; Streptophyta; Magnoliopsida; Myrtales; Myrtaceae. The record is from RNAcentral.